CCUGCAUGGCACCUGCUCCCCUGGUGGUCUGGUCCCUGGGCAGAAAGCUCCUCCUCUUGCCUAGAGCAUUCACCUGUGAGUCAGUCUUGGCAAAGAGCAGCCAAAGGAAGUAGAGG
This 116-nucleotide microRNA precursor is filed under the name Microtus ochrogaster (prairie vole). RNAcentral describes it as "miRNA (ENSMOCG00000008166.1)". The record is from RNAcentral. Lineage: Eukaryota; Metazoa; Chordata; Mammalia; Rodentia; Cricetidae.